CUGCAGCCAAAUAAGCCUGCUGGGUUCCUUCCUUCAUGGCUUCCUGGUGUGCAAUAUCUGCUGACAACAGCCUCCUUGGGAGUGUAUAUAAUCUAUUGCUUGUACAAGUGGCCCUAAGUGACCUUGGAGACUGAU
This is a small nucleolar RNA of Jaculus jaculus (lesser Egyptian jerboa), 135 nucleotides long. Its record names the gene SNORA70. It matches the Rfam family "Small nucleolar RNA SNORA70". From Rfam's summary of the family: snoRNA U70 seems to be exclusive to mammals and is a member of the H/ACA class of snoRNA which contain H (ANANNA) and ACA box motifs. NCBI's taxonomy places the organism in Eukaryota, Metazoa, Chordata, Mammalia, Rodentia, Dipodidae. The record is from Ensembl.